RNAcentral lists this ribosomal RNA (857 nucleotides) under Klebsiella quasipneumoniae subsp. similipneumoniae. RNAcentral's name for it is "partial 23S ribosomal RNA". It matches the Rfam family "Bacterial large subunit ribosomal RNA", at positions 330 to 1193 of the family's 2925-position model. The record is from RNAcentral. Lineage: Bacteria; Pseudomonadati; Pseudomonadota; Gammaproteobacteria; Enterobacterales; Enterobacteriaceae.
UAGUGGAACGGUCUGGAAAGUCCGACGGUACAGGGUGAUAGUCCCGUACACCAAAAUGCACAGGUUGUGAACUCGAAGAGUAGGGCGGGACACGUGGUAUCCUGUCUGAAUAUGGGGGGACCAUCCUCCAAGGCUAAAUACUCCUGACUGACCGAUAGUGAACCAGUACCGUGAGGGAAAGGCGAAAAGAACCCCGGCGAGGGGAGUGAAAAAGAACCUGAAACCGUGUACGUACAAGCAGUGGGAGCACCUUCGGGUGUGACUGCGUACCUUUUGUAUAAUGGGUCAGCGACUUAUAUUCUGUAGCAAGGUUAACCGUAUAGGGGAGCCGCAGGGAAACCGAGUCUUAACUGGGCGUUAAGUUGCAGGGUAUAGACCCGAAACCCGGUGAUCUAGCCAUGGGCAGGUUGAAGGUUGGGUAACACUAACUGGAGGACCGAACCGACUAAUGUUGAAAAAUUAGCGGAUGACUUGUGGCUGGGGGUGAAAGGCCAAUCAAACCGGGAGAUAGCUGGUUCUCCCCGAAAGCUAUUUAGGUAGCGCCUCGUGAACUCAUCUUCGGGGGUAGAGCACUGUUUCGGCUAGGGGGUCAUCCCGACUUACCAACCCGAUGCAAACUACGAAUACCGAAGAAUGUUAUCACGGGAGACACACGGCGGGUGCUAACGUCCGUCGUGAAGAGGGAAACAACCCAGACCGCCAGCUAAGGUCCCAAAGUCAUGGUUAAGUGGGAAACGAUGUGGGAAGGCACAGACAGCCAGGAUGUUGGCUUAGAAGCAGCCAUCAUUUAAAGAAAGCGUAAUAGCUCACUGGUCGAGUCGGCCUGCGCGGAAGAUGUAACGGGGCUAAACCAUGCA